AACGAACGCUGGCGGCAUGCCUAACACAUGCAAGUCGAACGAGACCUUCGGGUCUAGUGGCGCACGGGUGCGUAACGCGUGGGAACCUGCCCUUAGGUUCGGAAUAACUCCCCGAAAGGGGUGCUAAUACCGGAUAAUGUCUUCGGACCAAAGAUUUAUCGCCUUUGGAUGGGCCCGCGUUGGAUUAGCUAGUUGGUAGGGUAAAAGCCUACCAAGGCGACGAUCCAUAGCUGGUCUGAGAGGAUGAUCAGCCACACUGGGACUGAGACACGGCCCAGACUCCUACGGGAGGCAGCAGUGGGGAAUAUUGGACAAUGGGCGAAAGCCUGAUGCAGCGACGCCGCGUGAGGGAUGACGGCCUUCGGGUUGUAAACCUCUUUCAGCAGGGAAGAAGCGAAAGUGACGGUACCUGCAGAAGAAGCACCGGCUAACUACGUG
RNAcentral lists this ribosomal RNA (438 nucleotides) under uncultured bacterium. RNAcentral's name for it is "partial 16S ribosomal RNA". It matches the Rfam family "Bacterial small subunit ribosomal RNA", at positions 29 to 507 of the family's 1533-position model. The record is from RNAcentral.